Long non-coding RNA from Gallus gallus (chicken), 11937 nucleotides. Lineage: Eukaryota; Metazoa; Chordata; Aves; Galliformes; Phasianidae. The record is from Ensembl.
GUCCGUGACUGAAACCUCCCCGCCCCCGCCGCCUCCUCCCCCCGCGCCGGGGGAACCUCGCACACAUGUGACCCGGGAAACCAUGACAACCUCCCGCCGGGGACUGCGGCCCGCAGCGCGCCCCCCCACCCCGCACUGCCGGGAGGAGCGGGCGGGCGGCGGGAUGCGGCGCUCCUCUCAGGCUCCGGCCCCGCCGAGGGGGUUCCGCCGUCCCUGCGGUAUUUCACCGCUCAUUGCCGUUGUGCUUUUUUUUGUGGGCCACGGACGACCAUAAAGAGAUCCCCGCAUCGCUCGUAUGCGUAGAUACGCCAUACGUUCAUAGUCACAUAACGUAGGAAGCGCAGUGUCAGAAAACGCCUCCGGUCAUCUGGCUGCCUCGAGGUCCACGAUCACCACAUCUAGAGAAAGAAACAAUUGGAAAAGACAAAAGUUCCCUUUCAGCGCUGCCUCCCUGCCCGCGCUGCGGGGUCCGCCCGGUGCGGUGAGCAGGUGCUGCCGUCGCUGCCGUGCGCUCAGGGCUGCAGGCAGUGCCCGCGGGCCCGCUUUGUCACGGAGCUCUGCGGAAUGCUGCUCGGAAGUGGAGUCCUGGGAAGGCAUGAAAACCGGUUUGUAGUCGCCUCAGCGUGUGGGGAUGACAGCAGCAUGGAAUCAUUAAGGUUGGAAAGACCACUACAGUCAUCUAGUCCAACCGUCAGCCCAUCCCCACCAUCCCGCUAACCCAUGUCCCUCAGUGCCACAUCUCCAUGUUUCUUGAGCACCUGCAGGGGCAGUGACUCCGUCACCUCCCUGGGCAGCCUGUGCCAGCGCCUCACCACUCUUGCUGAGAAGAAAUUGUUCCUAAUAUCCAACCUGAACCUCCCCUGGUGCGAUUUGUGGCUAUUUUCUCUCACCCUAUCACUGUUACCUGGGAGCAGAGACCAACUCCCACCUCGUCACAACCUCCUUUCUGGCAGUGUAGAGAACAAUAAGGUCUUUCCUGAGCCUCCUCUUCUCCAGACCAUCGCAGUUCCCUCAGCCGCUCCCCAUCAGACGUGUGUUCCAUAUCCUUCACAGCUUUGUUGCACUUCUCUGGACACGCUCCAUGGCCUCGAUGUCCCUCUUGUAGUGAGGGGCCCACAGCUGAGCACAGAAAUUUCUGUCAGCCCUGGGUUUGUGCACAAAAUGAAUCAAUGGCCCAAAGGUCCAAGCUCAGGACCACUCUGCUGUUUGGAAAUUGCUUUUACUGGACACUCGCCAUUAUUUCAGCUGCCCUGAAAUGUACUUCAAAGAGACUUGGUGAGAAAAAUAGUCAAAAAUCAAGUUUGUCUCAGCAAGGAGAUAAUGAAUGUAUCUUGAUGACGAUGUGGCUUCAGCAAGUAACAAGAAGAAAAUGUAGCAAUCUCUGUGGUGCUUUUUUUCAUUCAAGCUAUGACCUCAAAGCCAUUUUUAAUUGGAUGCAUUUCCAAAUGAAGCCACUGCUCCCUGUAGAAGCAUUUUUCCAGUUGCACCUGGUUCACAAAUUGGACAUUAUGAACUUGGCAAACCCGUACAGUGAGUGAUCUGUGUUUAGGGGUGAUACCUCUGCUCUACAGCAGGUGAAAGACACCUCUACCAACAGAGUAUAGGACACUGUUCAGCAGUGUCUUGUGGCUUGCUUUCUCUCUGUGGGAAAAGCCAGUAUGGAGCACUGAUGAACAAAAUGAAGUUCACGGCUAUUUAGCACUGCCCAGCAUGAGAGAUAUCUCCAUAACCACACUAAGUCCUGAAGACAGGCCAUGAGCACACCCUACACUGCAGAAGGCUGCUCCUUCAGCAGGCACUGGGAACGCUGCAGCUUUCUUCUGGUGGCCAGGAGCCCUGGUUUCAGCCAAAGCACAGUGCCAACAUCACAUCAAUGCUGUGGUUGCUGCUGAGCAAUGGGAGCUUCCUGGGGCCCUUUAUGCGUGUCAGCAGGAGGUGGACAGAGCCCAGACAGGUGACCUAAAUUAGGCUGAGGGUUAUUCCAUACCUAUGUGACUGUAGAUAGCUGGCUUAGGGCUGACUGCUGCAAGAUCAAUGGGAUGGAAUGGUCUUAUGUUGUUUGUGGGCUGUUAAAUUAUUAGUUGGGCAUUGGUCAGUGAGUAAUUGCACUGUGGAAAUUACAUAUGUAUAGUUGUCAUCACAUUUUUUAUUAUUCUAUUUCCUUUUAUCAAUCUUAGCUUUCCUUUUAUCAAUCAAUAGCUUUCAUCUUAGCCUACUGGCAUAUCUCAACCAUACCUGUCCCUACAAAGUACUGCCAUGGUGCCAUGUAGCCACAUACAUUGCUGUCGCAAAGAAUCAUGUGCAGCAGGAGGGCUGACACCUGUAUGUUAUGGACAGGUGCUUCUCUUGGUCAUUCUAAAAGGAGCUUUAGCUAGAAAUGCCAAACUGGCUCAUUUACAAGUCUAGCUGCUCAAAGCCCUCUAACAGUGAGCUCUCCUGUUUGUGAUCAGGUUGAGAUAUGCCUGAACUUUGAGGAAACCAGGAACUGUUGACACUUGGUCCAACUAUCCACUUGGUGUCUAUGUUCUGUGAGCAUGUAAUAUUCCAUUUACUGGAGUCUUCAGGACUGAAUGGAUUGUUAUCUCUGAGGUUUUCUCCCAGCCAGACAAGGCUGUCUGUUAAUCCAGGAUUUAUCAGCAGCACUGUCUUUCACCAUGUAGUCAAGGACUACUCAGGCUUGCUAGAGCAUCCCAUUCUCCCAGACAUCAUUAGAGUGAAAGGAGAUUCCUCCUCUGGGGACAUCCUCAGGAGCCAGUCUUUGAUGUUUGUAGGCAGAACUGGCAUUGUUUGAAUAAGAGGCUCCUAAUUAGUGGCACUCUAAAGAACUACUCUAAUUUUAUAUUUUCAAAACACCCUAAAAUGUGUCUAGGAAGGCAGCUUGAGGUUUGGUGUAUCUCAAAGAAUGGCAGUGAGCUUUGCAGUUCAAGUUGAUGUCUUCUCUUUUCCUUCCUGUUCCAAGGAACUUGCCUUGACUUCAAAUUGCUUUUAAAUCCUUGUAAGGGGAACAGCUGUCCCAGAAUGUGUUACACUCCAGCAGAGUGAACAGUUAGGAUCAGUUCACACCUCUCUGAUGAGUUUUAUUCGUUUGUACUAAUUUUCAUGUGUCAUUCAGCAGUGAGCAUCAUCUUGACAUGAAAGAAAAUAUAAAACUUCACAAAUCUUUUUGUAUUGAAAAAGGGCUGGGGACAACACUACCCUGACAACUGCCAAGAAAAUUAAAUGAGGACUCCUGUUAUCUCCUUUCCUCCUUGCCAGUAGGUGCCCUCUUCUUAACACUGCUUACCAGCUUUGUGUGCCAAUCUGUUGCUUCAUCUGCUUUGAGGUGGUGGAAAAACUAGGAGAAUACAGGUAGCAGCUGAAAAAUAGCAUGUGCUGCAUCUCCUACAUGACAGCGCUAGCCAGCAUAUUUUGGAAACAGGUUGGGACUGCUUCUGUCAGAGAUCAGAGACAGAUCAUUUCUGAGUACACAGAGGAUACUGAACAGAAUGCAGAAGGGAGGGCAGACCCUAAAGGCUUAUUUUUACCAGGGUGAAUGAAGGCUUAGUAAGUUUAAUAAACUUGAGCUAAAUAUGUCAAUCCAGCAACCUUCUUUGUGCUAGCUUUCAACCAUUUGCCUGAUAGGGGCAUCUUUCUCCAGUGCUCCCAAAGGUGUUCUCAACACCCAUCUUCUCAUUAACCCUAACCCUAGCUGAGCUCUGCAAUGCAGUACAGGGAGAGGGGCAGAAGUAUGCUUUUCUCUAGAGUGGAAAGUAAACACCCUACUGGAGUACAAUACUUUUAAAAGUCCACUUUGUCGCCUUCUUGGAGGUGAGAGAGACUAUUGUGACCAGCUGCACAGCCAGCCCUGAAAUAAGAGACCCUGAUCUCUUUAUACGUAGUAGCAUUUGUCCUACAUGGGUAAGCUAACAGCUCACAGCAGUGGUAUUCAAUGGAAAGAGUUUGUAUUGUACUGCAGAAGACACAGGACAAAAACUGGCCCUAAACCUAUUGCAGCAUAUAGAAGAAGGCUGACAUGUGGGAGUAUUUCCUGUUUGUUUGUUUGUUUGUUUAAUUUUUGCUUUGUGCUGACUUAAAUCUUUUGUCUUGACUUCUGAAAUUGUAAAUUCAGACGCACUUUGCAUUUGGCAUGAUUAAAAGCUGCUGCUGACAAGCAACUUGAAAAUGCCUUCAUGUUUUAUGUGUAUUUCAAAAUCUCUUCAGCUGUAUGCCUUUGCAGGCUCUUGAUCUAGCAAUAGCUGGUUUGUACAUUUUGAGCAACGGGUUAGUAAGAAUCACGCACUAUUUCUGAUCUUCCCAAAUACCUUUAAGAUGUCACAUAAAUUGAUCUUUUUUUUUUUCUUCUCAGUUUACAAGGCAGCUCAUGCUGCCUUGCUUGGCAAAUCUUAUUUACUGAAUUCUCUUGUUAACAGAUUUCAGUGGUAGUCAUUCAACCAUAGAUUCUUUCAGCAAUAACAAAACAUGCAGCUGUGCAGGUUCAUUCUUUUUUUUUUUCUUCAGAUUAGAAUGAUAUAUCACUACUAUUAUUGUGCCAAAUCUUUUACCAGAACAUAACCUCUUUAUCAGAAAAAUGUUCAGUUCUAUCAACAGCAUAAUAAACUGGUGUCUGUAAUUCAAGGAUCAAGUGUAAAUGCAUUCCUCAUGACUCUCCCUUGACUUGAUUCUCCAGUUCUUCUCAUACCUUUUGCUCUGGCUGCUCUUACUGUUCUUUUCUUGCUGUGGAUUUGAAGCACCUAACUCUUCCUGUGUUUAACACAUAUCCAGAGGGAGCAAGUAUCCACUUACAUACUCAGGUAAAAUUCUUACUUAUGUUUCUUUACUUUUCUGCUCACUCUAGCUCUACUCAACUCAAAACUGGGCCUUCCAGGAAGUAAUAGCUUCGUGUCUUAUUGUGAACACUACUUACAGUGGUCUCUUCAGUGAAUGAACAGUGAAUGAACAGUGAAUGUAGGUAUGCUUUGAAAUCCAUUGGUUUGUAGUCCUUGGUAUUCAGAAACUGCUGGAUACCCUCUCUUAGAAAAUCGGUCCACUUUAUGUGCCUCAGUUUGGACACUGACAGGCAAUCACUUGUCAUUUCACCAAAAAAAAAAGAGUCAAAUCUUUAAAGUCAGUAUAGUGAGUGCUGAAUUUGCCAUUAAAAGCAAACUUUCCUCUCAUUUUGAUGUAAUGAGAUAAAAUGACAGCAUAGCUGUAGUAGACAGGCUAUUUUAGGGAUCUUAUGCUCAUGCAGUGUCCUGUUCACAAAAAAUGGCAUUCUACACUGUCAACACAACCUGUUAAAUGGCUAACAAACAUCUCUCAAACUACUUGACAACAGCAAGUCAUCAUCAAAUGGAGGUGUUGUUCCCCAGGGACUGACAGUAGGCUGUUUCUGUUCAACAUCUCCCACAGUCUUGUAGAAGUAAAUAUAAAUGUUGCUGAUGCAAUAUCCAGGUGUCAUAGAACCCAGUUAGAAUGGUGGUAUCAGUGAGCUCUGCUAAGCACAAAGCGGCCUGGAUAACUUGUCCAUUUAAAUGAAAUCUUUCUUCACACACCUACAUUUUAAGUGAUUGACUUCAGAACAAAGAGCGCAAGAUGUUUCUACAGAGUGGGAGGAUUUUAUCUUGGAAAGCAGUGCUUCUGAGAGAGUUGAGGGAUCAAAAUGGAGAAACAGCUCAACUUCUCAACUUGAACUCCCAAUAUAAAUCUGUAGCAAAAUGGGCUAAUGAGAUUCUUGGGUGUUUCAGGAGGCAAAAAGUAAAUGGGAAAGGGGGAUUUGCACUUUGUUUGGCACUUUUGAGACCAGGACCAGUGUACAGCCUCUAAUUUUGGUGUUGGUGUGUUUAAAAGAAUAUUGAAAAAUAAGAACUGUGCAGGAAAGAUACAGGAAUACCCAUAAGCUGAAGAAAAUGCCUUACGGUGAAACGACGGGGAAAGCUCAGCAUUUUUAUCAAAAGGAAGAUUGAAAUUUGACCAAAUUAUAAAUGCUUCCAGAAGGGAAAAACACAAGGUAAAGAAGAUUUUUCAAAGUAACCAAGGAAUACAACAAGAAAACAGUGGCUGGAAAUUGAAGUAUAGCCUUCCAACCAUGGUCAAUGAUUAAUAUAUAUUUAACAGCAAAGAUUAAACAGUUGUAAUCCAAGGUUGAAGAGAGGUAGUACAUUUCCUGCCCCUUGACGUCAGCUCUGUAUUCCUGCUUGGAUAACAGCGUUUAUCAAAAAAAUUGUCAUUAUGCAUAGUAAAAGAGGCUUAUACCAAAUGAUCUGAAUGAUAAAGUCUAUUUUGAAUAGUCUAGAUAGUUUAUUAUGAAUAUGAAUACAGUCUAGAUAGUCUGGUAGUUCCUUCCAGCCCCUUUAAUGUAAAGAAUAGAAUAGGUCUUGUUUAUCAGAAGUGGCUCAACAUCUCCUCUUGGAACUAAAACUCUUUAAUGUCUCUAAAUUAAUACUCAAAGUAACCAAUUAUUUUGAGAAGAUUAUGGCUGUGGUCUUAAAAAUUCAGUGUAACAAACUUUUCCACUAUUAAUGCAAAUAAAAAUGGUGCAGUAACUGAAAUAAGGUAUGACACAGAAACUGUCAUACCAUGCAGCAAAUUAUUGAUAUCUCCGAGAUGAAAUGAAACACAAAUAUCCUAAAAUAGUAUGGUAUUUCUUAGCUUUCAUGAAAUAUGAACCGAUAAUGGGAAAUUUAUGGUAAAAAUAAAUAUGCUUUUAAAAAUUUUCAGUCGCUAUUGUGGUUGCUUGAGUAUUAUUUAAAUGUAAAAGAGCUGCAAUGAAUAGAUAGCUUUGCUUUUUACUUCCCGUGAGGUACCUGGAGAAUCUGAUGAUUUGUGAAAAAGGGGAACCUCCUUGCUACAAAACCUCUUCUCCUUUUACUUGUCCUGGGCUUAGCUCUGAAAUCUUCAAAUUAUCUGCUGUGCAGAGAAAACAGGGUUCAAAGGAGUAGAAAUGGCUGUUGGAUGGGCAAAAAAAACCAAAACCUCACAAUUCCUUUCCUUGUAUUGCUCAUUACCUGCCAACUUUCCUCCCACCAAAUAUCUAUUAUAAGUAUUAUUACACAUUUCUUGGGACUUAACUUCCAAAAGGAGCGACUUUAAGCUGCAGAGUCUGUGAUUCUAUAUCCUCUCCCAUGGAAGAGGCAUUAAAUGCAUUUGUUUUGCUUUGCUUUUCUGAUGGAUUUAAUGGCUUUUUUUUUCUUUUUUUUUUUUUUUUUCUCAGAAAAUACUGUUUACUGUUUGCAGAAAGAUUAAAGCGUCUACAUAACUAUUGGUUCAGUAAGACACAUAAGAACCAGCUGAAAUGUUUUCCUGUGUUUGAACCUUAAUCUAGUAGUAGUAUUCCUGCAAACAUUCAUCCUGUGAAAACUAAGAAUAGUAUUAUUCUGACCCUAAUUGAUGAUACGUUUCUUUCUACCUUUGGGUGUCUCUGCAGAUCUACAGCCAACUUGAAUUGAGUGGACACACCAGGCUGUGUGACUGGCAGCUUUGUGCAUUAGUGGGCAUCAGACCUGAGUUCAGCUAUUGCCGAGUCUGUGAGGGAAGGUGUGUGGCUGGAAUUGGAAACACUGGAUUUGAGAGAAGAACCUUAAUUCAAACCAGCAGGCUUUAAAGGACAAAUGUGGACAGUUCAGAGCUGUGUGCUAGAGAGCCAAGUCUUCAGUUUGUCUCAGAAUGGUUUGUUUAUAAGAACUGGCAAAUGUGCUUUUGAUUAAAGACAAACAUCCAAAUGCACUGACUUCUACAGAUUCUGGAACAGAAGGACUCUCACUCUCAUUUAUGCGUGCACACAUAAAUAUAUGUCUAUAUCUGAUAUUACUGUUUUUAUUUUGGUAGAACCUAGAGACCCCAUCACAUUAAUCAUUCUACAGAUGCAAUGUAAGUAUCUUAACAUAGUUGGCUUUCGGUAAGGUAAGACUUGCUAGUUAGUGUGGGUUUAUGGAUCUUAUUAUUCCAUCUUAAGGAUGAGAUUAUUUUUUAUAUUUUUAUCUUGAAAGAGAAAUAUUUACAUUUUUAAGUAAAAUCUGUAACUGUACCACCCUUUCAAUAUUCCAACUUUAGCCCCAAGAGUAGAAGACAGUGCCAGACAUGCAUUCCCUUGUGUUUUUUAUCGUUGAUUUUGGUAUGCUCUAUUUUUAUUCAAUUCUAUGGGAAAUGCAUACACUUUGUGCAGUUGCCAGAAUGCGAUUCCCCAAUGCCCUCUCUUUAUUUCCAAGUGUUCUUUUUUCAGAUUCAAGUCCUCUUGCGACAGCACUUUCUCUUGUUUGAUCAAGUAAUCCUUGCUCAUACUGAACCCAUUUGCUGAGGACAACACUUAUGUACGCGGAGCUGAAAGGGCAGACAUCUGAGUUAAGGAAAGUCUCCCACCCUGACAGUAAUGGUUGGUUUUACUUCCUUUUUCAGGGUCUGCCAUUAUUUGUGCUCACUGCACCUAAGGGCAGUAUGCGCACAGCUCUGUCGGCAACCAACAGGGCAGAAUCCUCGCUUUGUUCAAAUUCAGCUGAGUGUAGCAGAGCCAGGCUGUUGUUGGGGUGAUGGUCACGUUCUGUUGAAAUCCCCCUCUCCCAGCCUAUGUUGCAGCACUGUCUGGAGGCUGCCCAAGUUUUGGCAGAUUAAUCUGUAGGCACCAUCCAUGUUCUGGGGCUAGUCAGAACACGUCAGGCUUCAGACUGAUUUACACGGUUGCAGUUGCAUAAGGAGCUAUAGAGAAGCUAGAGCUGAUAAUGUGUUUGUAGAACAAGAGAGCAGAUUCAGCUGUGUAACCCCAAAAGGGCAAUGUACUGAAUUAAGGACAUAGUCCUGAGUCAAUGUAUCCACUCACCUUUUCAUGGUGCUUUUCAGGUCAGCAUCGCUUUCUGCCCUCAAAUCACAUCCAUUUGAUGACUUUUUCCUCCUUUACAUUAUGGGUUUAUUUGUGCAUUAAAAUCAGUCUGGCAGUGCCCUUACAGCCAUAAAAUCCACGCUGCUAUAUCAUUACCAUAAAACCUAGAGAAGGUCUCUUGUGUUUGAAAAGAGUUGCAGUCCCAACUCAGUCCUUUACAAAGUGCCCUAGGCAUGUACUGAUGGCAAAGAAAUAGGGCACCACUGGAGAUGACAUCUCCAAUGUCCACCUGCACUGUGCCUUGUAAAAGUACUGACUCACUUGCACCCUCACACCCUGCAUAAAUGUCCUUCUCUUUUCUCUCAGAAUUACCCAGCAGAGCCUUCAAGCAAAUAGGAAAAGGAAGAAAUGUGGUCUCAAGGACAGAUAGGUAGGUUGGUAGUCUUUCGUAUUUCUUCGUCCUGCCUUGAGUUAUACCUCAUAGCUCAGGUGUGUGCUUGUUCCCAGAGGUUUGAUCUACAUGGCUGCUUGAAGAGAGGGUUAUACACACUUCCCCAUAACACAUAUAGCAAGGAUCUAGGUUCAGGGUGCACCCCUUGCCCUGUGGAUUUCUCCAUCUGCUGUCUAGAUAAUGUAAGAGCAUCUUUGUCCAUUGGGGACUUGGACCAGAAACAUCUGGGUUUAGCAGGAAGAGAAACUCAUGAAGAAAGGAGAAGAAAUAUUUUGAAGCCUGGCAGCAGCGUGGAGAUGGAUCUCCAUGAACUGAAGCAGAAGUGGAGACUGAAACUGGCAAUUCUGAGAGGAGUCUUCCAGGCCAGGACCUUCCACAGAGUUUAUGGUGCCAGAAGUACCUGUCCCUGAAAGCCAAUUUUUCCCACCAAGGAAAGGUAUGGUCCUGUCCUUCCAGGUCAGCCUCCAAAAUAGAUGUUUUCAGAAAAGGUCUAUCAGGUCUUUUGGCUGAGGGAAACCUACAUCAGCGUUUCACUGCAGAGGGCUUCCUUUCUCCCAGAAGAACAAAAAGAAAGAAAAAACAAUGUAUCCAAGAGCCUCAAGGGCCUGUAGGCUCAUCCCUGGUAACAUCUCUGGCCUGUCAGAUAUUUCUAAGCUGUGGGCUCUGAAUGCCUCAAAUGUUGGUAUCCAUGAAAGCCCUGGCUUUCAGAAUGAGAUAAGACUUUUCUCACAGGAUUUACAGACCACAGUGAGCAACCUUCUAAUGCAUCCUAGAACCUCUGAGUGGGAAAUGGGUCUUGGCAGACAGCACAGCUUCCAAAGUCCUUGUGACUUCUGAAAACCAUGUCACCUGCUCCAGCUAUGUGCAGUUUUCUGGGAGAUCCAAAUCUUUCCUUGUAGCACCACUCUGAAGGGUCCUAGGAGAAGUCACUGGGGUGGAAACAAUCACAGAGACUGCAAAACAUAGCCUGGUUUCCUGAAUAGGAAGAAGAUGAUGAAGUAAGUAGAUAUCUUGUUUUACCACCAUUCGUUUGCCAGAUAGUCCUGUGGGAGCUGGCAGAAAAGUCCAACUAGUCUCAUCCUUAUUAUAGAAGGGGGAUAAUGACUGCUGAGAGGACAGAAGGAUUCUCAGUGUGUGAUCGGUGCCCAUACUGCUGCCUUGGCCAGCUUACAGUAUGAUACUCACCAGGCUGAGACUUUUUUCCUUAAUCCAAAAAGUGCUAGCCUAGUUCUGUUGGGAACAUGGGAAUCAGCAUUGCAUGGCUUGAGGUAUGGAAGGAACUGGGAUCACACUGUUCUCCUCACCUGUCCUAGGUCCCAGUCAGACACAUCUGUGGAUCUGGUUUGUGCAACCGAAGGGAGACUGCUUUCUGUGAGUCUCUACUUCUUUCCCCUCUCUCUUAUCCUUCCAAGAUGAAGAGGAAUAGCUAUUAUCUUAAAAUAUCUAUUACUUAGUAAAGAUUAAACAUUAUUUCAUGUUUAAACAUGAGAAGUAUUUAAUAUUUUAAGAUUUAAAACAAAUUAACAUUUACAAAUUAUUCUGUUAUAUAAGCAAAUCCUUGUUUAGAAGGAUAAUGUUUUGAAAAAAGCUUCUACAAAAAAAAACUUGACGUAUUUUAAUUGAUGGCUUUCAUUUUCUAUUUUGUGUCUCAACCAUUGGCAUACCUCAGUUUAGAUGUCAACAUUUUUAUGCCUGGAAGCUGGGGAAUAAAAAUAGUUACACUCUAAAAAGAGGCAGUUCUGAGGGUGAGAGGUCCUGAUCUUGCAAGCUCUUGCUCAAAUGGAAACUCAAUGGGACUACUAAGGGUGAGGAGGAAUUACUCACCCAGCAGACAUUACAAAAUGAGGCUGAGCUCCUCUACUAAAAUGGUAAUAGCUUAAACAUGGAAAAUCUUAUUCAUUCUGCUGAAAUGGGAGGGUGUAAAUAUCUGAGUUUUUUGAAGAAGUGGCCACAGCUGAAAGGCAGCAGAUAUCUGUUUUGAAAGCAGAUGAAAACCUCCUGCUAGGUGGUUACGCUGCAGUGUUGUCUUAACGUUCAUUGUGUGGUUUGAUUAUUUUGUUUUUCUUGAGUUUUUAUAUUUAAUAUAGAUGAGCUACAGUGAUUUCAGGAUGGUUUGGAAGCCAAGUAUGUAUUCGUGUGAAUAUUAACAAUGCCUUGGGCUACAAAGAAAGCUUGAAAACUUUGUAGUAACUUAAAUAAAAAUCAGUGCAUGUUUGGAAUUACUUAAUUACGUGCCCUUAAAAACAGUUUUCUUGGUACAAUUAAUUGGAUGACCUUACUCUCGAAAAAAUGUGCUACAUGACAGAAAUGUACUAUAUGGCAAAAAUAUCUUUAUUUCCAUCACAAAGAAGUCCUGACACGGGACAGAAAACCUAAUUUUAUUCCAAGCAAUCCAGCUGGUACAUAUGAAAUUCAGAAAGAAUGAACACAUCACAACACCCCACACCGACUGUCUGACUCUCGAGAUAAGGAAUUGGCCACCGGGAUAUCAGCUGUUCACAUAGAGCAUCUGAGUUGCCUCCUCCCAGACACCACUCCUAUGAGAACGAUCACCAUGCAGAGAUAUACAGUGAAACUCACCCUCUGCUGAAUGCUUGCUUCAAUCUUGGAUAGCUCCUCUUCGUGUCCUGGAGCACAUGCAGGCCGGAGCCUUGGAGACACAUUCCUCACCAACCACCAUCCUUAUGAUCAGGCUGGA